This 1131-nucleotide long non-coding RNA is filed under the name Apteryx haastii (Great spotted kiwi). RNAcentral's name for it is "lncRNA (ENSAHAG00000012877.1)". The record is from RNAcentral. Lineage: Eukaryota; Metazoa; Chordata; Aves; Apterygiformes; Apterygidae.
AUGAGGAGCCAGGAUGGAGCGGGACAGCUCUUCCUCCCCAGCCGCGCCGUUUUGUGGCUCUCCCACCACCCAGCGGUGCUGCAGGCGGGGGUCCAGGUCCCCUUCGCCACGAAGCCCAUCACACCGAGCCCCCUCGCUCCUGCCCUCGCUGCACGCACGGUUGGUGACACAGCCGGGCUGGCUGGUCCCUGUCCUUCCUCCUCCUCUCCUUCCUCUGCCGCCCUCCGGACAGACCCUGUCCUAACCCUCAGUGUGUUGCUCUGGGCUUGGAGACCUUCCUCCUCCCUGGUCAAGCGAGGAGGACUUCCCUCCUCUCGUUCUCCUUGCCCCACACCCAUCCCGAGCCGCGCCGCCUCCGCUCCGACGUGCCGCGCGCGCGCAGCUGCACGGAAAAGCCGGGCAGAGGCUUGCCGCUGCAACGAGGAGGUGCCCUCGCCCUCCCCUCCUGCCGGCUGCAAAUCGGCGAUCGCCCCCAACGCGCGCAGCCGCGUUCCCGCGUCGUCCGGGAUCAGCGCGGCCGCGGCACACUGCCCGGCGCGGGCGGCGCGUCGCCUGCCGUCGCUCUCAUAUGCUUCUCGUCAGGCGCCCCACACCUCCUCCGGCGCGCCGCGCGGCAGAUGCUGCCGUCUCGGGGGUGCCACGACCGCUCGGGAUCCGGAGCGAGGGGAGCCGAGGAUAAAACAGCUCCAGCCGCGCGAGAGGGAGGGAGGUGGAAAGCAGCCGAGCGGUGCCGAUUUUGGCACACGGAGCGGCGGGGGCACGGCGGCAGCAACGGCAGCUCACUCGCGCUGUCGCGGCGACUUCGCUUUGCUCCUCGAAGCUCGGCCAGUCGGCAGAGCAAGGGAGGAGAAGCCGGGAAGGAGGGCAGCCGGCACGGGAUGGCUCGGCGCGCUCCCGCCUUCUCCCCGGCGGCCGGCGAGGGCUGCUGCUCACUUCGGCGCCUUCGGCACCGUGCGGGCGCGAAACGCCUGUGCCGAGCGAGCGCCCGGCUCGGAGGUGGAGGGUACCGAACCCGUCCUCUCGCCUCAUUCCAGACACCAAAGGUCUUGGAGCGGCUCUCGCCCCUGCCCGGCUCCCCACCUCCCUGCCUCCCGCAGCACCGUUGCCAAAGGACCAGACAGGCCGGGCUGA